AUAAAGUGAUGAAAUUUUAUUCUAUCUACCACAUAAGAAGAGAAAAAUUAUGACUCCAAUUCUCAAGUUUAUAUACAUCCUGUCUAUAUAUUUUUUCUUAUUUUUUGUUGCAGCAAAUGUUAAUGGUAAGUUUUUCAAUUUUUCUUCAAUAUUUUUUAUUUUAGUUUUUUACUUAUUUGUUUGUUCAGAAUCUUGUCUCAUUUUAGCAAUAUAGUUUAUUAUCUUUUUUCAUUAUAGGUGCUCCAGAAUGUAAAGAAGAUUCUGAUUGUGUCUGCGAGGUGCACAAGAUAUCACUGUGUAUUGAUGGUUUGUGUGCAGCAUGUCUUAUGGAUAGUUAAAGCGAUAAUAGAGACCCCUUGAAUGGAUGAAUAAAUAUUGUACUAAAACAAGAUCUAUGUAAUAUAUAAUAAGAUACUAAAAAAUGAAUGGAUGAAUCAGUGUUGUAUCAACACAAGAUCUAUGUAAUAUUAUGUUUUAAGACAAUAAAAACUUAAUAUUUAUACUUUUGAAAGUGUUGUUUCUAUUACGAUAUUCAAUUUUUUAUUUAUGCUUUUGUGUUUUUGAAAAAAGAAUAUAGUUAUAUUAGGAAUGUCCAACCAACAUUUUUAUGGAUUAAGUUUAA
This 622-nucleotide long non-coding RNA is filed under the name Lathyrus oleraceus (garden pea). RNAcentral describes it as "Pisum sativum (pea) long non-coding RNA (PSAT_LNC035895)". The record is from RNAcentral. Lineage: Eukaryota; Viridiplantae; Streptophyta; Magnoliopsida; Fabales; Fabaceae.